This 451-nucleotide ribosomal RNA is filed under the name uncultured Sphingomonas sp. Its description in RNAcentral is "bacterial SSU rRNA". It matches the Rfam family "Bacterial small subunit ribosomal RNA", at positions 92 to 578 of the family's 1533-position model. Lineage: Bacteria; Pseudomonadati; Pseudomonadota; Alphaproteobacteria; Sphingomonadales; Sphingomonadaceae. The record is from RNAcentral.
CUAGUGGCGCACGGGUGCGUAACGCGUGGGAAUCUACCCUUGGGUUCGGAAUAACAGUUAGAAAUGACUGCUAAUACCGGAUGAUGACUUCGGUCCAAAGAUUUAUCGCCCAGGGAUGAGCCCGCGUAGGAUUAGCUAGUUGGUGAGGUAAAGGCUCACCAAGGCGACGAUCCUUAGCUGGUCUGAGAGGAUGAUCAGCCACACUGGGACUGAGACACGGCCCAGACUCCUACGGGAGGCAGCAGUGGGGAAUAUUGGACAAUGGGCGAAAGCCUGAUCCAGCAAUGCCGCGUGAGUGAUGAAGGCCUUAGGGUUGUAAAGCUCUUUUACCCGGGAAGAUAAUGACUGUACCGGGAGAAUAAGCCCCGGCUAACUCCGUGCCAGCAGCCGCGGUAAUACGGAGGGGGCUAGCGUCGUUCGGAAUUACUGGGCGUAAAGCGUACGUAGGCGG